This 480-nucleotide ribosomal RNA is filed under the name Bacillus cereus. RNAcentral's name for it is "bacterial SSU rRNA". It matches the Rfam family "Bacterial small subunit ribosomal RNA", at positions 34 to 490 of the family's 1533-position model. The record is from RNAcentral. Lineage: Bacteria; Bacillati; Bacillota; Bacilli; Caryophanales; Bacillaceae.
CGCUGGCGGCGUGCCUAAUACAUGCAAGUCGAGCGAAUGGAUUAAGAGCUUGCUCUUAUGAAGUUAGCGGCGGACGGGUGAGUAACACGUGGGUAACCUAGCCCAUAAGACUGGGAUAACUCCGGGAAACCGGGGCUAAUACCGGAUAACAUUUUGAACCGCAUGGUUCGAAAUUGAAAGGCGGCUUUCGGCUGUCACUUAUGGAUGGACCCGCGUCGCAUUAGCUAGUUGGUGAGGUAACGGCUCACCAAGGCAACGAUGCGUAGCCGACCUGAGAGGGUGAUCGGCCACACUGGGACUGAGACACGGCCCAGACUCCUACGGGAGGCAGCUAGUAGGGAAUCUUCCGCUAAUGGACGAAAGUCUGACGGAGCAACGCCGCGUGAGUGAUGAAGGCUUUCGGGUCGUAAAACUCUGUUGUUAGGGAAGAACAAGUGCUAGUUGAAUAAGCUGGCACCUUGACGGUACCUAACCAGAAAG